This 75-nucleotide transfer RNA is filed under the name Negativicutes bacterium. RNAcentral describes it as "tRNA-Thr". It matches the Rfam family "tRNA". From Rfam's summary of the family: Transfer RNA (tRNA) molecules are approximately 80 nucleotides in length. Their secondary structure includes four short double-helical elements and three loops (D, anti-codon, and T loops). The record is from RNAcentral. Lineage: Bacteria; Bacillati; Bacillota; Negativicutes. RNAcentral also lists the same sequence under 1 other name.
GCUGGCGUAGCUCAACGGCAGAGCAGCGGUUUUGUAAACCGCAGGUUGCGGGUUCGAUUCCCAUCGCCAGCUCCA